This 516-nucleotide ribosomal RNA is filed under the name uncultured bacterium. RNAcentral's name for it is "partial 16S ribosomal RNA". It matches the Rfam family "Bacterial small subunit ribosomal RNA", at positions 28 to 523 of the family's 1533-position model. The record is from RNAcentral.
GAUGAACGCUGGCGGCGUGCCUAAUACAUGCAAGUCGAACGCAUUGAGAGAAGUGCUUGCACUCUUCAAUUUGAGUGGCGAACGGGUGAGUAACACGUGGGCAACCUACCUGAUAGCGGGGGAUAACGAGUGGAAACAUUCGCUAAUACCGCAUAACAAUAGAGAAGGCAUCUUCUUUAUUUAAAAGGCGCUUUCACGCGUCACUAUCAGAUGGGCCCGCGGUGCAUUAUUUAGUUGGUGGGGUGAAGGCCUACCAAGACGAUGAUGCAUAGCCGAGGUGGGAGACUGAUCGGCCACAUUGGGACUAAGCCACGGCCCAAACUCCUACGGGAGGCUGCAGUAGGGAAUCUUCUACAAUGGACGAAAGUCUGAUGGAGCAACGCCGCGUGUGUGAUGAAGGCUUUCGGGUCGUAAAGCACUGUUGUAUGGGAAGAAAUGCUAGGCUAGGAAAUGAGCUUAGUUUGACGGUACCAUACCAGAAAGGGACGGCUAAAUACGUGCCAGCAGCCGCCGUAA